UGCAGGAUCCCGCGAACCCCCGAGUCUUUGAACGCAAGUUGCGCCCGGAGCCUUCUGGCCGAGGGCACGUCUGCCUGGGCGUC
Molecule: ribosomal RNA, 83 nt
Filed under: Luffa aegyptiaca (smooth loofah)
Lineage: Eukaryota; Viridiplantae; Streptophyta; Magnoliopsida; Cucurbitales; Cucurbitaceae
Description: partial 5.8S ribosomal RNA
Rfam family: 5.8S ribosomal RNA
About the family: 5.8S ribosomal RNA (5.8S rRNA) is a component of the large subunit of the eukaryotic ribosome. It is transcribed by RNA polymerase I as part of the 45S precursor that also contains 18S and 28S rRNA.
Source: RNAcentral